CUCUCACUCCCUCAUUCUCUCUCCCCAAAAGGGGUGUUAACUAAUCGUAUGCAGACAUCUCCUCCAGAGCCUCGCACACUAUCCAGCUGGAAAGGAGGGAGCCAGGAGUGCAGGACUGGGACAGGGGGAGUUUCUCUGAGAGAAUCAGGGCUUCCUUCUAUCCUUACCCCCCACCCCUUCCCUGGAUGGAGUUCCGCUGGGCUAGAGGAGCUGGGGUGGGUGUGCGGGGAUCCUCUCAGCUCCGGAGAGCCUUCAGUGAGCAUGUCAAGGAUUCCACCAGCAGAGCCUGGGAGGUGUUCUGGAAGAGGGCAAGGGAGCGGAGGCUAACAGCUGGGGGAUUGGAUUUGAUGGCCUCUAAGAUCUUGUCCAGCUCAAAAUCCACGACCUUGCGUGUGUGACCUGCAUGUUUCCUAGCAGCAAAGCAAAUGGACUUUGGUCGGCUGAACGUUUUCCUGCAUCUUUGUGAGGAUAGAUAUGGCAUUUGCUUAUGCCCUGGGAAAGUGGGGCUCUCAUCCAGGGGGGCUCCCAGAGGCGACUCUCCCCACCCAGCCUGGAAGGAGGGGAAGUGGAGGGCAGACAGCUGCGUUCCCUGGUCUGCAUGCAGUACAACAUCUGGGCUCUCAGUACAGCCAGAGCAGCAGCGUUGGAGGGCUCUGAGCGGGGCAGUGUCUGACCAGCCCUCCGAGCCUGGUCCCCCAAUGGAAGGUAGGAAGCAUCUGCAGUUCAGAUUCCAAGUCUGAGGGAGCAUUGGCAUAUGGGGGCAUGGUAGGGGUGAGGGAUAACCAUGUGGGGAAUACCGUGAAGGUUAUGGAGAUGGACUCUGGGAAAUACAAGAGAACAGAGAAAAUG
RNAcentral lists this long non-coding RNA (849 nucleotides) under Phascolarctos cinereus (koala). RNAcentral's name for it is "lncRNA (ENSPCIG00000031188.1)". The record is from RNAcentral. Lineage: Eukaryota; Metazoa; Chordata; Mammalia; Diprotodontia; Phascolarctidae.